UGCAUGUGUCAUCUCGAAAGAUCUAAGUUUUUUCUUAUUCUUUAGUAACUCUGUCCUAGCAAAUAGAUACUUAUCUCUAGAAGUACCAAACCAGAUAGCCAUCUAGCUAUUAUUAAAAAAUCUUAUAGGAAAAGUCUUCGAAACUCUUGUUGCAUAUGACGUAAUUUCUUAUGCAAUAUGUAAUUCUGUUAUAUAAACUAUAGCGUCAACCAAUUUAAUACUGUCAGCUACAAUUAGAGCAUCAGUCGUACUUCUAAUCACAAAGCUAGCCCUAUUAUACUUAUUUUUAUUUAAAACACCUGCAAUCAAUUUUAAUAUUGAGAAAAUUUGAUGUGGUUUAAAAUGAAAUAGAUCGUUUAUAGGAUGGCGGAACCUGGCCCACGUUUUUUUUUUUUUGCUUGUUUUUAAUACUCGGAUCGCAUGGCAUGCAGCUUGCAAGACCAUAAAUCAUUCCUGAUGUUCCAUCAAGAAUUCCAUCCGGAUCUGAUCGGUCGAGAUCGGGAACAUUAAGGGACAUUAAUGGACGACCGUGGUAAACCGCCGACGUUUUUUUCGCGGGCGGGACGCAAAUACGAUGGGAAGAAAACCGGGUCGUCCUGUGGAGACUCGGUGGAGCUCAGCAGCCAACGAAACCGUGCCCGACGGCGACUUUGGCCUUUGGAUGCGGGACCCAAAGUGGUUUGAUAGCGGACCAAACCGACCCCUUGGGUCAACAAAAUCCGCUGCCGUUUCUUCCACGUCCUCGUGAUCUCAUAGUUUGGACUUGGCGCACCGCUAUUCAAAAGGUGGGACUUUAAUUAUAAUAUCACCCCUUCAGUGGUUCAUGAGACAAAUCGCAUCUUACAUGGAUGGAAAGUAAAGAUAUUAUCCAUAAGCUACUAUUUUUUUGUCAACCGAGUAUUCUUCGCAGUCAAAUAAAUCGAUGGUUGUCUCUACUUUUCCACCUAAAUAUUAUUCCCAUUAGUGAUGAUUGGUCGUGUUCCAAUCUUUUUGGCGUAAAUAUAGGGAAUCGGGGUAUCUCUAUUACCCAUUUUUACUCUAGAAGCGCUCAAGAGUGAGAAAGAAAAAGAAGACCCACUUGUGUGACAGGGGUUAACUUUAUUUUUAUUUUUGGCCUAGGAAUUGGGGUCACCUUUAUGACCUCCGAUUUGCAAAAAUUCUAUUUGAAUGAUUGGACUGAAAAUUCUAUAGAGUUUGUAGGUUCGACUAGUAAAAUUAGUAAAAUUAUAGGAUUACAGAUCAUGCUCGAUCUAUAUUCAUAAAUAUUUAGGAAUAAUUUUGGAGUGGGCCGGCUGAAUCCCGUAGCUGUAGAAGGAAACCCAAUCAUUCAGAUAGGCCUUAAGACCGUUGAAGAAAAAAACCCACUUAAGGGGCAGUGGUCACCUCUACUAUAAUUUUUUGGCAUGGAUGUAGGAGGCAGGAGUCACCUCCAUUAUUAUUAUUAUUGGCGUAGACGUAGGAGGUAGGGGUCAGCUCUAUUACCAUUCUUGGUGCAGACGUCGGGAACUGGGCUCACCUCCAUUACUCCUGGCCCUACUCCAGACCCACCUAAGAGAUAAGAAGAAGACCCGUUUGAGAGGUAUGAGUCAUGAGUCAACUCUAUUACUAUUUUUGGCAUAGAAGCAGGGACUUGGAGUCACCUCUAUUACUCCUGACCCGCUUAAGAGGAGUCCCAAUAUCAACGUGUGCUAAUCUUCAUGCACCGCUCGCCGUGUGCAAGAUAUUUUGCUUGUCCUUCUUGCUUCAGAUGAUUUCAACCUAUAAUUAUAGUCUCUGGACUAUAAAACAGGGGAUCGAACAAAGAUUAAAUAGCGCAUGCAAAGGAUACCUUGUUCGUGUAUAUCUAAAUUUUAAUGCAAGGAAAAAUAAUGUACACUAAACAAAUAACCAUAAGAUCAAGAUUUGACUAUGAGGGGAUGAAUAAAGAUUAUAUAAAUUACAAGAGCAUCGUAGAUUGUAGCCCAAACACAUCUGCACAAUAUAUUGAAUUUACUGUGAGGGGGAUGACCAAGACUUGAGUACUCCUCGAUUUUGGUUCAUGAUUAACUUUAACAAAGGUUUCAUAUCUUGAAAGUACAUUAAGCAUAUUUCGACUUUUAAUGUAUGGAAAGAAUUGUUAACUGGUAAUAUCUCAUGCAUGGGAUUUAGAUUUUAUUUUGAGAGGAAGAACCAAGACUCGAUUUCUCUGUUUCGGUCCACAUUUCUGAAGAUAUUUUGGCUAUAUCCCCUAACAUGUCUUUCCAAUUAUUAAGCAUUUUUUGUAAGCUGUAUAACCCAUUAGUUGGGGAAGAAAUCCUGAACUAUGGCAAUAUACGCUGCAGAAAGUUUCAUUUUCCCCCUUUUUUUUUACUACUGACGUGCUGCAUUCUUCCCACAGCUCGGUUGAUGGAGCUAUCAAACUGAAACCCAAUGUAUCGAUUUGUUCUUCUCUGCUCGGUACAUGGCGACUUGGCGAGACUCCAUUCCCACAUGCCAACUCUACCUCAAUCUUAAUGUUCAGCUCUUCCACUCUAAUUUCGAUAGUCUUAUCUCCAACCAAUUUACAGUCUUUCAAAAUCCAAUACGGUUUGGUACGAAUGCUUAAGCAGGAGACGUGAUAAUGCUAGGUUGGUGGUGGUUCAUGUCAUCGAGUAAUAUACUAAUAUUGAGAGAGACUAAAAAAAAGGACAAGGCAGAAAGAAAUUAAUCUUUCACUGCCAGUCAGUGGCAACCAGAAACCUUCUACAAAGUGUCGAGAGAACACGUACGCCUAUAACAAUGCAGUAUCUGCUAAUACUAAUCCUUACAUUGCUUGAAGGAUAAUUCCAUAUUUCCAUCCCAGGAUUUCCCCUCGGAGAGAGGACUCGAAUCAGCUUGAUGUAUAGACACAACUUCCAUCGUCGCUCCGAGCGGUUGGAUCGAAGUUUUUAGCAGAUGGGUCUGUGCAGCCUUCUGGAAGAGGAAGGUUCACUUGCUGAGCUGCUUUGCCUGCACCCAAGGAACAAAUAUAUUAGCCAUCUUGCAUAAACUUCAGCUACUCUUUCCACAAGAGGAUCCUUUCCAAGGCCUAGUGUUAAUUAUCUUGGAAGCCAGAUGCAGACCCUCCCAUCAAGGCCUCUAGGAUUAAGGUGCUAACCGUAGAAAGAUUCAGACUUGAUAGCAUCUUCAUUGGCAUCUCCAAGCGCAGCCUCGCUCAAGUACUUGUCAGCCAACUGCACUCGCUUCACGUUCUCCUGCUCCUUCACCAGCAUGUUACCGUACUCCAUAAGCUUCUCUAGGGUCAUCUUAGGUUGCUCAAAGGUUGGCGGUCCUUCACGCGAGUUAACGAGCCUCUUGCCGACCUUUUCAAUUCCAAUCUCUGCAAUCCACUUCCUCACUUCAUCAUCGUAGACCCUGGCUCGGAGGGCACCAAAAAAGUCUGCAUGUUGGCACCAAAAUGCGCUGGUUAACAUUCUUAAUAGAAUGAUUGCGUUUUUAUUGAAGCAAAGCGGCGAUUCCGUAUUAACAUUUUUUGACGUGACACCACAAUAAAAACCAAGUGGCAAACUCUGCUACAAGGGUUCCUAUCAUUGUCCAACAAGUGAAAUUUGGUCACUUAACAAGUUCAGUUCCUUUGCAUCGAAAGAAAACGAGUUCGGUUCCAAUUUUCUCCUAGUAUUUUGAGUUCCUAAAGCAUUUUUUUCUGGAUUAAUUUUUCUGCACCAUGAAGUACUAUGGAUGGCCGAAGUUCCUGAGAAGAUAAAAUUUUUUAUGUGGCUUGCUCUGAAGAAUUGAAAUGGUUUGUUUCACAGGCUUUUAAUCACCAAUGCCCCAGCUGGAAGUUCUUUAAAAAAGAAGAGACAGCCACAAGACAAUCGCCUCUAAUAUCUCUAUCCCUUAACUUUGACCUACUUUGCAGGCAAUUCUCUUUGUAUAUUCUCUUCUUUUGCUUAUCAAUAAAUUUAAGGGGUAUGGCCAUCAUUCUCUCUUACUUCCCUCAAGAAAAGAAGAAGAGUUGUGCAUGGUUUCAUGGCCAUGAUUAUUUAAAAUGUUGGCAGGCUUACCAAUAGACUGGCCUGGGAAGGCAUCAACUAGCUUGACGAUGUGCUCCCUGGGAACAUUGUCCGUCCUGAAUAUACCCAUGCAGAUACCAAUUCGAUCCUCUCUGGUGGGCGCCCAGUAGAACUUCUCCAUCCGGCCGUCACGAAUGAGAGGGGCAUACAGAGUGGAGAAGUCAUUUCCGGUGACGAUGAUGGGAACACGGGGAUUUUCCUGCUUGUUGUACAUUCCCGGGAGCUGCACAUUCGUCGGGUUGUCGGCGAUGUUCAUCAGGGUGGCGUUCACCAUCUGGUUGUUGACGGUGUAUUGGGUGGUGCCACCCAUCCUUCCGGCUCCGGCAUCCAGAUCGUUGAUGAAGAGGACGCACAUUUUCCCCUUUCUGAUGAUGUCUGCUGCCUCACGGUAUCUUUGCCUGAUCAAUUUUGCAGGCUCUCCGGCGUUGCCGCUCUCCAAUUCUCCGGCACUCAUCAUAACAGGGCUAUAGAUGCCGAGCACCAAAACACAAUAUAUUAGAUGAUGAUGAGCUAAUUGUGAGAGCCCGUGCAGACGUGUAUUUAGUUCCGCAUCGGUUAUUUAUUGGAUAGAUCUUAAAUUUUUAUACAGAAUCAAACAAUCCAAAUAAUACCUUUUGGUUAGCCAUUUUAGAUGAGGUUCUAGAUUAUUACAAAUAGUAUUAGAGCGAAUUCGGCUUGUAGUUUUUGUGGACUAGGGAACACUGCAGCACGGAUCCAUUGAGGCUAACCACGAGCCGAUCGUGGUGUUUGUGAUUAGAUUUGAUGAAUGGAUUUGAACCUUUAGCCUGACGAGAACAUCAGGAUUUGAACGAGAAAAGUACGUGAGGAUUCGUGUGGGUGUGUGUUUAGUCCCAUAAUAUUGAUUAUUCGCUGGAUAGCAAAUACAUAAUGUGAAUUUAUUUAUCAUAAUACAAGUUUCACAACGAUCCAAUUGAGAAGAUUUGGGCAAGCAUUUCAGGUAGGUAAAAGAUUAAUUGUCUUGCGUUCCAAUUCUCCGGCACUCAUCAUAACAGGGCAUUAAUAAAGAAAGAAAGAAAUGGGCCCAAAUGACUAAUAGGUAUAAGCAUCAUCAGAAUUUAAAAUGACCCCAGAUGUAAUUGGCAACAGCAAUCCAUUCUGAAUCAAGAAAUGAGGCUGACAAAGUCAUUAUAGAUGCAAAAAGACAGCCAAUUUUGAUCUUGGUAACACCAAUACGAGGCAGUAAUUUAACUUUCCCAAAGCUUUUGAUUCUCCAUGAGGACAGCAAGCGAAGAGGAAGAAAAACUCACUUGAUUCCCAUCUUGGCGAAUACAAGUUCACAUUGGAAGGAUUUCCCCUGGCCUUUGCCUCCCCAAAUACCCAAAAUGAGGGGAACCUGUGAGAAACCGCAACAAACAUUAAUCUCCAACCAACAGCUAUCCAGAGAGCUUGAACAGAAACGGUGGUGGAUAAGAAACCUGAUCAAAGAUGAGAAACACUUUGAGGGCAUUACCUUAAUGUUCGGCAGGUUCAUGAAAUUCUUGGUGAUGUGAACAACAAGCUUAUCCAUGAAAGCAGGAGCAAUGUAAAACCCAUCCAUGGUGUUGUCCAAGUUGUACCUAAAAGCCAUUAUAUAUGAUUGUAUAAUUGUCAAGAUCAAGCAGUUCCUGCGACAUUAACAGAGCAUAGACUUCUAGCUGAAAUACUCGAAUCUUCAAGCUUAGUUUGUUUCCUUACUGGCGGAGACCCUGGCUGAUGUACUCAUAGGAGCUCAAGACGGGGAUGUGAGUUCCAUCUCCCAUGGGAGCCUGGAAGAGGGAAUCGACCAACCCCUUCCCUCUGGUGAUAUCCUGCUGAUCAUCAGAUAUAUCAUAUGCAAGACCUGCCCACCUAUCCUUGUCGGUCUGCUUGGUCUCAUCGAGGUCGGCAGCCAUGACCUUGAAAGUACCAGUGGAGACCCUCCCAUGGCUAAAGCUAGAGUUCGCCUUCUUCAAGCUGCUCCCAAAGAAUGCCGAGCUAGGGGCCAGAUAUCCCGAGCCAGAGCCCUGCAAGCUCAACUACACCAACAAAACCAAAACCAAGGUCAACUACUCCAAGCAAACCGUAGUUUCCAUGCCAAAAACUUAACUAAUUCAGGUAAUAAACAAGCACCAUGUACGCAUAAAUUAACCAGAAAGAAAAUCUAGACAAACAACAACAACAUGAGCGAAAAAAACCCGAAAUAGAACCACAGGCUAGCCAGAUUUCCAAGGAAUAAGGGAACAGCCAGAGGGGACUAGCUGGUAUAGCAAUACCGAAGGCCCAGGACGAGCAACAUGCAACCCAAGCGGCGGUGACGUCGGAGCAAACUUAUUCUUCAAGCCUGGAAGGCCAGCCACUUCAAAUGAAAUUAAAGAAGCCAUGCACUCUCCCACCAAGUCGACCAAGAUUGAGCACACCAAGAAAAUAAUUAAGAAGCCCAAAGUCGACACAUAAGAUAUGAAAGAACAAGGAGAAGAUGGAUAUGGUGUCGAGUUACGGACCCAUGCAUUUAAAAGAAGAGAGCAAAACAAGAGGCGAUGAAACCGAUGGGAAGCCACAUAGAAGGAAGUGGAGAAAGAGGGAGGGAAAACGAGGGUACUACCGGUACUCUGGUGACAGCUCCAACGGUAGAGACAGCGGCAGCCAUCUGGAAACCGAGGAGGGAUGGAGGAGACGAAUGCGAAGCGUGUGCGCCACCGGGAUGCCAAGUUGUUGGAAACCGGAGGCUCUUAUAUAUAUGCUGUUGCGGAAUGGAGGCGCGGGUUUUGGGUCAAGCUCGUGGGUUUGCGUUGCUUCGGAUCCUAUGGAUUUGGCUUACGAAUUCCUAAUGGCCACACGCUCGCGAUUAGGACGAGUCACACGUGGCGUUCUCCCGGCCGCCAGCAGGCGUUCCGAUGAAGCGCGUCCAAAAUAGAGCGUUCCGGUAGGUGGUAGCGUCACGGAUGAUGAAGGAUUGUUUGGACUUGGAAACUCUUCUUUACCACCAACUCUUUUUUCAGGGGUUCAUCGCCAUAGAAAGUAUGGCGGGGUGCAGAGAGUUCUCGAGCAGGUUAUGGAACGUUGUAGAAGAUCGGACUCUACUGGAAUUAUUCAUUCUAUUUUUACAAAAUUUUUAUAGAAAAAAUAUUUAUUUGUUUUUUUCUCAAACGUGAUAUUAGAGCAUAGAUUUAAAAUUAUUUGGAGCUGUAAGUACCAAAGACCUGGACAUAAGAUCUAUGCAAAAAAUUUAUGUUAUAUAUGCGAGCUAAUUAUGUCCGGGAAAAAUAGUGGUUUUCUGUGUAUGUAAACUUAUGACAUGAAAUAUUCCUUUUUCUUUGAAUGACUUCAAUAAAUACUUACAAGAAACACGAGACUGCACAAAUAUUAUAAAUUGCUUCUUCCCCUAGUCAUUAUCCUCUUGCUUGCUUUUUUUUUCCAACAUUGCAGGACUCACUACAGGGGAAGUGUGAGAAGAGGGAAGGAGGAGCUGGAAGCAAUUUAUUAUCUACAUAGAGAGCUAUAGAUAAUCAAAAUUUUCAUAUAUUUGUAUGGUGCACUCAGAGUAGUUCCAAGAUCAUUAUCCGAAAAAUGUCAAAUAUAAAAUUAAAUAUUAUUAUUUAUUUAAUUUAUUCCUUUUUUUAUAGAAGAAGAAGAAGAAAGAGACUAAGCAGGUAGAAGCCUCCAUCAGCCACUAGAUUUUAUUCAUAAGGAUAUACACAAGAAAAGCACGAUAAGAUAGGAAUGCAUAUGGGAACUAAGUGAGGAGAACAAAAAAUACCAGAGUUAUAAGAGACAGGAAGGAUUGAAACAAGAUAUAGCAACUAUUACAGAGAAACCGAGAAUUCAUCAUUGGAUUAGUAGCCAUCAUUAGAAGUAAAACUAGAGCUUUCAAUAGAAACAAAUCCCAACCAAAUACGCCAGCGGUAUGCCGAAGCCAGGGCACCAAAGCCUUCAAUAAAAUCACAAAAAUUCAAUCAAGAGCAAACAACUCAGGAAUCAAAAGGCUAAUGGAUGGAGUGGAAUUCUUUAAUUUUCUUUCAACUCUGCAGAAUCCAAAAAGGUCACUGAAAUCACAGAGUAGGGACCAGUCAUCAAGUAGUAAGAUAUUUUCGCCUCUGCAAAAGAAGAUGCAUCUAUUUCAUUCAUUCCAGAAGCCUCAGGAUAAGUGGAAUAAGCAUAAAUAUAGCAGAUGAUGCAUAUCUUUUGGGAAGGAGUUCCGUACCCACCUAGAGUGGCAGAUUUGAAAAUUUCUACACCCAGUUAAUUUAUUAUUUUUCAUUUUUGCACUGUUACAAUGUGGAAUAUGUGAAAUAUAAAUUUAAGAUAAAUUUUUUAGUUAGUCUUCAAAAUAUAGAAAAUCUUUUGGCCAUGGUCACAAUAUGGUAGAUAUAAGAUGAUACAACCUCUCCAAUGAAGGAGAUAUGGAAGGGUAUGAUUUAAUACUUGAUAUUUUCUAAAAGAUCCUUGAAAAGAACACAAAAGUUCCUACAAAGUUAUGGCAUACCAAUUGCCAAUUACAUGUACAGAAUCUUCUUUACAUUUUCCUUAAUAAGCAUAAUAUGAAAACCUAUGAGAAAUUAUAUUUGGCUUUCCAAAGCUUUUGCUUUUUACAUACAUACAUACACACAUACAUAUAUGUACAUACAUACAUAUUUAUGGUGUAUUUAUAUGCAAAAAAGAAAAAAAUCCCAGAGAUAAAAAGCAAUGUAUUGUAAGAAAAUUUAUUGCUCUACAAUGAAAUCCCUUAUUGUACUUAACAGAUAUGGUUGUUCGGAAGAAUAACCAUUGCAUGAUUCCGUGUCACCUCAAGGAAAUGGAAUAUUUUCCAAACAUUCCUCUCUAACAGCCGUACGUAACAACAUACUCCUCAACAUCCAGCGACAGCUAAUUAUUUGCUUGAUAUUUUGUUUUCAUUCGCCACCUUUCAAUCUGCCCUUGCUUGCUUGCUGCAGUGGUUACCGUUGGCGCGCGUUUCCCGCGGUUUGACCUUUUCUCUUUAAAAACGGUUGCAUCCAUCUCCGAUUACCUCACGUUUCAGAGCCAUUUCCCCACAGCUCUCCUCUCCGCCUUUCAUUUCCCACUCCCAAACGCCCUGCCCUCCCCCUCUCGUAUAAAGCCAAUCCGAACUCCUCCGAGUCUUUUUUUGCAUCAAAAUAAGAAGGCAAACAAUCGUCCGUACGUUUCAGCAGACUUGUUGUCGUCAUGGAGAUCAAAAUCCCAAGAGGAGAAUCCAAUGCCAAGAAGCCCCCCACCCGGCUCCAGAAGCGCGCCCCUGCGUCCCUCCAGCUCGACCGCAGCAUCAACGCCUUCGCCUGGGAGAAGGCCUAUUCUUCUCCUACGCCAAUUCCCCUGCUGUCGCCGCUCAUUCUUUCCCCCACGCCGUUGUUCGAGGCUGAUGUGGCCCCGGUCUCGGAGGCAGAGAAGAAAGACGGCGGCGAGUGCGAGGACGAGGAGAGGACGCCGAUGCCGCCGCCCGGUGGAUGGCGUCACCCGGCUUUGCCGAUGGUGAUGGUGGAGCCCGCGUCUCUGCUUCCCAUGUUUCAGUUCCAAUGCGCUCUGGUGCGCAACGUGCAAUGACCGCAUUAUUCUGCUUCAGAUUUUUGUGUAGUUGAACUCGAUUCAUCUCCCUUGUAUUCAUGGGUGGUAUGCUGGGUAAGCAAACUCCACCGAUUCAAUGUGGCCAUCGGUUCGAUGCUAUAAAACAGAACAAAAAUAUUUUCAAAAUAAAUAGCUGUGGAAGUUUGGUGUGGACUUUCUCCUUGCGACCUGUUAAAGGAGGAUGAUAGCCAUUUUUUUUCCUUUUUUUUAUUUUAUUUUAUAUUCCCUGUGUGGAUUACAUGAAGUUGUGUUCACGUCUGCCGUUUGAUAAUUAUUAGCAGAUUGCGGAAAGAUAAAUUUACAGAACAAAUUUAUCCAAAAGAGGAGAUGAAGUUUUUUUUUUUUUCACCAUCAAUGUAGUAUCGGUAUGCUGCCGUCAGUCCUUUUGACUUAUUUAUGAACAAAAUGCUGGCCUGGUAUGGAUCCGGAGAACAAUUUGAUGAAAAUAUACAGAAAACUGAAGAUGAUUUAUAUGAAUUUUUAAAUGAAAUUUGAGAGAGGUACUAUAAUUUAGGGACAGUAUUUCGGAAGAAAAAAAAAAUCUAAAAAAUGCACAUCUGAAUGUUCACCUUGCACGGAAAGCACCAAUUCGUAAGGUGACACACCGUGUCCAAUAUAACCUUGCAUUUUCAUAAAAAUAUUCAUUAAUAAGGAAUCCAGUUUUUUGAUUACUUUUGGAAAUUCUCAUGAAGCGCUGAAUCAAUUUGUUAUGAUGAUCCUAACCAACUGCCUUCCUUCAGCAUAGUGGUAGCCUGGUAGGCACCAGGCAUCCUGGAUGCCCACGCAUAAAUAUCUAAUCCAUCAGGGUUGCAUAUUUAAACCAUACUUGUGCAGUAGUAGCAGAGGAAAGGAAUCCAUGCUCUCUGACACCAAGUCUGCAACCAGCCACCCAAUCUUGAUGCGAUUACUAGGGUGAUGCUAGUUCAGAGUGUCUCAGAAUUUAAAUAUAUAUUCUCGUUCUUAUUCAUAUGAUACAGAUCCUGCAUAGCAUAAUCAAACUUCAAACCGCAUCUGAAAUAAGCAUGGAGAAAAGCUAGUUUGACCUUUUAACAAUCCAAGCUCCCUUUGAUGAAAGAUGCAGGAUAUUCAUGAACGCAGUCACACAAGCUGCGGUGUACAAGCCUCCAUAUUCUCUUUCUUGUAAUUUUAGAACCAUCUCCCUUGUUUUUACCGCUAUAACCUCGCACAAUGAAUGAAACAACACAAAUCAAACACAUCAUGUACCAACCCUCAGCGACGAUGGUUCAAGCCUGUCAUUAUUCUGAUUGAUGUCUACCUGGAUUACAAUCAAAAAGUACAGUUUGAUGCCAGACAUUGAGACAAAUAUAAACUACACCUUCAAACCUGUGGCAUUUUGAAGGCAACAUGAAAUAGUCUUCUAGAACUCAAAAUCAUGAUGGACCCCAUUGAUGCAGCCUCAGGCUGAAAUACUUCCACUACUGAUAGAGUAACUUACCAUCAAAUCAUCCUUGAGAGACCAUAUUAUACAUAACUGGCAAAAUAAACUGAUCAAAGAGUUGCCUAGCAUCAACAAUAUAAAAUGCUCGGAACAAAUAACUGAUAUAGUUGUUCUCAUUGUUGCAGGAAAAACAAAUUUACAGUGUCCAAUUAAUUUAGCAUCUUUACAAAGAAAAUCAACAACCCUGACAGUCCGUCUGAUGAGAAAUUUUCUUUUUACAUUGUCUCCAAAGUAUCAAUUCCCAUGCUCACCACAUAACAUAGCGCCAGCAAGGAUAAUACUCAACACAAGCACCUGUUGAUCUGACGUCACUCCAACAAGAAACAGCUUGAUAACAAAAUUUAGAAGUCAAAUUCCCCAGUAGCCUGCAAUUAACAAAUAAGUUCUCAAAUAGUUUCUGGGCUCUCAGAUAAUCUCAAAUAUAUUGAUAAUAUAUCCUGUCAAAUGAUAGCAACCAAGCUUCAUGAAAUGUAGGGGGAAAAGGCAUGCCGGGAAACCAAUUUCUACAUGCAGAUUUAGAACAGAAUGAACAUCAGAAAAAGAUGUGGAAAUGUUCUCAUAAAGUACUCAGAUGAAAGCCACUCAUGAGUAAACUGGGUAAUAGAAAAACUAUUAUAAAAAAGUGACAGAAAAAGGCUAUAUCAAGCAGCACCCAAAGCCAUCAAAUGCUUGGUAUUGAAGAGUUUGAGUUUGUAUGCCAUGGAUUAGACUGUAAAACUGCAAUGUGGGUAGCCCUAAGAUUUGUUUGAUUGUCAGAUGGUGAUAUUAAUAAAUUGUUGAUUGCAAGUGUUUUAAGUUCCCUAAAUUUAUCAGAAUACUGAAACCAACAUCUGGCCUUGGAUGUCAUUGAAUAUGAACACGGUAGGCUAUUUAUUACAAGAGUGCAUAAUUUUGGAGUUCAGACUUAGCUUUGGAAAUCUCCUUUUAAACUUGCAAACAGUUUUGAAUUCUGUUUAAAUAACAAUGCUUUCAACGAACUGAAGACUUCCUGCAACAACCUGGCAUUCUCUACACUUCAUUUGCCUAACACUACUUUCCUGCAUUUGUACAUGGCACUUUCUAGCGAAAUUUUCAUGCCUUACGUGACAUGUUUCACAGACAAUGUUUCAUGGUUUUACUCUCGCUUGAUUUAAUGCUCAUAACCCUGGUUUUUUAUCACAUCAAAAGGUAAAACCAAAACAAAAUCUGUCCUGCCAUUUCAUAGCUUGUCAAAGAAAAGAAAGCCCAAAAAAACAGACCGUAAUUUCCUAGCCUGAUGAAAGAACAAGCCAGAAAAAACUGACAAGGAGGGCAACGAAAGAAGGAGAGAGAGCGAGAGAGAGAGAGAUCCAAAGAACUCCCUCCCUCCCCCCACACACCAAACUAUUUUUUUUAAAAAAAAAAGAGUGGGAGGCUAGGACUACGGCAUACCAAUUCCGAAGCAUCGGUCCUCUUCGUCACCUUCUUUGAAGCAGCCACGAUCUCCAACUAAUCUGAUGGAUACUGGUUUCCUCUCUCUCUCUCUCUCUCUGUGUGUGUGUGUGUGUGUGUGUGUGUGUGUGUGUCUUGUUUCGUUUCCCUUUCCCACCUAUGUAUUNNNNNNNNNNNNNNNNNNNNNNNNNNNNNNNNNNNNNNNNNNNNNNNNNNNNNNNNNNNNNNNNNNNNNNNNNNNNNNNNNNNNNNNNNNNNNNNNNNNNNNNNNNNNNNNNNNNNNNNNNNNNNNNNNNNNNNNNNNNNNNNNNNNNNNNNNNNNNNNNUUUCUUAUGUUAUUCAUGAGUGAUAGGAUCCUGUCAUAUAUGGAGUAUACCAUGCAUGACAAGCCCAUCUAGCAAUUGAUCGUAACUUCUACAUAUUCAAAACCAAAUCUGAACAUAUUUUUUUAUAUGUAAUAAAGUGUCUUGAAUUGUUUGGAGAUUGUUCCAUUUCCAAAACCUCAAUUUUCUAAGUACUUCCCCUUAAGGUGGUGUGUGGACAUCCAAAACAACCAACAUGCACAUACGCAAACAACAAGAAUUCCUCAUCACCGGUCCAGUGGAAACAAUUGGCAACUUGUUUAGUGGUAUAGGAGGUUAUGAUGCCAGUUUGGUUUUACUUGGAUGUAAGGACAAUUAAGCUCUACAUGUUUUUGUUUCCUUGGUGAAAAAGGGAUUAGCUGCAAAUUCUGAGGAAGUUUGAUGGUCACAAACCAGGAGCACAGGUUAGGGAUUAGCAAGCCAUAAUUAUUAAUGUCACUACCAUAUGACUGCUAGAUGCCAUGGCCUGGAGCUCCACAUCAGCUAAUGCCCAAGAGACGGCAGUUUGCUUUUUGGCUUUCUAAGUAAUGGGAUUAGGGAUAAGCACGGGAAAGUAGUCCAUAGAAAGUAUCUACUGUCAAUGCAACUAGCUUAAUUUGAGUCAUAACACACACAAAGUUGGAAAUAUACUAUAGGCACACAUAUAUAAUUCUUGUUUGGCUGAGUUUAAGAGAUAACCUUGCACUCAAAGUGAAGUUUGUUACCAAGGUUUUUAGGCCUAACUCAGCAUGACUUGGAAUGUGAUCAGAGUAAAUAAUAUUGACGUUGAAUGACAGUCAAAAAUACCAAGCAAUACACAAAAAUGUCAAUAUGGAGGAGGAUUCUCUGAUAAAUCUCCAUCGGCUGUAAUUAGGCGUAUGUUUUGCUCCAGAUAAAAGUUUGCAGACCUCUACAUUUGCAUGUUAAGCAAAUGCCAAGACAUGAUUGAGCAACUUAAAUGCCCAAAAGUAUUCAAAUUAAGAAAUUAUCCAUGAAAUUCUUUGAGCGCUAGUAUCCUACAUAUUAAACUCAUUCACGAAGAUACCUUGUGCAUAGACAAGGAUCAGUGAAUGCUGUGCCUUGUCUGCCAAAGUUUGCUUAUAGCCAACAUCGCAAACAGACCUAAGGAAUUUAGCAACCAUUAACAUAAGGCUUUCUCUAGGUCAUCAAGCGAUCUGUUUAAUUUGCAGGCUCUGAUCUCCCCUUGUUUGGCAAGUUCUGUAAGUAUCCAUAUACAAUGAAGUCACAUGGUUAUGGUAUGUUGCUCAUCCCCAACUUGCACUUCUGCUUGUGGCAAUUAAGCUACCUCUACAUUUACAGCCAAUCUGGCUUUUAACAAUCAAAGAGAACACAUAGAACUCGAUUGUCAUUUCAUCUGAGAAGAAAUUCAAGCAUCAUAACCUCUUAAGGGCCCUACCUCUCAACAAUUAUGUUUAGACCAGAAAAUGAUAAAUUACUUUUAUCAGUUCAUGCACAUGUUGGGAGUUCUUUAUAUUCAUAGGCUACCCUAAAGGGUAGUAUUGAGAAAGUCGAUUUUUUUCAGAUUGCAAUUAUCUUCAAAAAGUUUCAGAACUGCCAUUAUAUGUUCCAGACAUUUUGAGAUUUGAAUUGAAAUUUGUAUAAGAUAUGACCAAUUUAUACAUGGGUUGUGCUUAUAUGUCUUAGACUUCAUAUAUGACAAGAUCUCACUGCUCAUGAUAAUCUGAAUCUGUCUAACAUGGGGACAAUUUUGAGAUAAAAGCGAACACAAAGU
Molecule: long non-coding RNA, 14550 nt
Filed under: Phoenix dactylifera (date palm)
Lineage: Eukaryota; Viridiplantae; Streptophyta; Magnoliopsida; Arecales; Arecaceae
Description: long non-coding RNA (PDAC_LNC003755)
Source: RNAcentral